CCCUUAGAUGUUCUGGGCCGCACGCGCGCUACACUGAUGAAUUCAACGAGUUUUCCACCUUGACCGAGAGGUCCGGGAAAUCUUUUCAACUUUCAUCGUGCUGGGGAUAGAUUAUUGCAAUUGUUAAUCUUGAACGAGGAAUUCCUAGUAAGCGCGAGUCAUCAGCUCGCGUUGAUUACGUCCCUGCCCUUUGUACACACCGCCCGUCGCUCCUACCGAUUGAAUGGUCCGGUGAAGCGUUCGGACCGUGGCCUUUGGACGGUUCGCCGUCUGUUGGCUGCGGGAAGUUCGUUAAACCUUAUCAUUUAGAGGAAGGAGAAGUCGUAACA
Molecule: ribosomal RNA, 329 nt
Filed under: uncultured eukaryote
Lineage: Eukaryota
Description: partial 18S ribosomal RNA
Rfam family: Eukaryotic small subunit ribosomal RNA
Source: RNAcentral